UACAGAGGGGGCAAGCGUUGUUCGGAAUUACUGGGCGUAAAGGGCGCGUAGGCGGCCUGCUAAGUCGAACGUGAAAUCCCUGGGCUCAACCCAGGAACUGCGUCCGAUACUGGUUGGCUUGAGUUCGGGAGAGGGAUGCGGAAUUCCAGGUGUAGCGGUGAAAUGCGUAGAUAUCUGGAGGAACACCGGUGGCGAAGGCGAUUCUCUGGGCCUGUACUGACGCUGAGGUGCGAAAGCGUGGGGAGCGAACAGG
This 253-nucleotide ribosomal RNA is filed under the name uncultured bacterium. Its description in RNAcentral is "partial 16S ribosomal RNA". It matches the Rfam family "Bacterial small subunit ribosomal RNA", at positions 524 to 776 of the family's 1533-position model. The record is from RNAcentral.